UACAGAGGGGGCAAGCGUUGUUCGGAAUUACUGGGCGUAAAGGGCGCGUAGGCGGCCUUCUAAGUCGAACGUGAAAUCCCCAGGCUUAACCUGGGAACUGCGUCUGAUACUGGGUGGCUUGAGUUCGGGAGAGGAAUGUGGAAUUCCAGGUGUAGCGGUGAAAUGCGUAGAUAUCUGGAGGAACACCGGUGGCGAAGGCGGCAUUCUGGACCGAAACUGACGCUGAGGCGCGAAAGCCAGGGGAGCAAACGGG
This 253-nucleotide ribosomal RNA is filed under the name uncultured bacterium. RNAcentral's name for it is "partial 16S ribosomal RNA". It matches the Rfam family "Bacterial small subunit ribosomal RNA", at positions 524 to 776 of the family's 1533-position model. The record is from RNAcentral.